UACGGAAGGGGCAAGCGUUGUUCGGAAUCAUUGGGCGUAAAGGGCGCGUAGGUGGUUCUGUGUGUCUACCGUGAAAGCGUACGGCUCAACCGUAUUUUGUCGGCAGAAACUGCAGGACUUGAGGCUGGGAGGGGCUGGUGGAAUUCCCUGUGUAGCGGUGAAAUGCGUAGAGAUGGGGGAGAACACUCGUGGCGAAGGCGGCCAGCUAGACCAGUUCUGACACUGAGGCGCGACAGCGUGGGGAGCAAACAGG
This 253-nucleotide ribosomal RNA is filed under the name uncultured bacterium. RNAcentral's name for it is "partial 16S ribosomal RNA". It matches the Rfam family "Bacterial small subunit ribosomal RNA", at positions 524 to 776 of the family's 1533-position model. The record is from RNAcentral.